Long non-coding RNA from Oncorhynchus masou masou (cherry salmon), 494 nucleotides. RefSeq lists it as uncharacterized. The record is from RefSeq and is a predicted model, not a curated record. NCBI's taxonomy places the organism in Eukaryota, Metazoa, Chordata, Actinopteri, Salmoniformes, Salmonidae. The transcript is spliced from 3 exons.
AAGAAGAUAACUCUGAGGAAGCUCUCCUGCAGAAGGAUGAUGUAAAAAAUGGAAAGACUGCCUUUUUGGCAAAGUUGGCUACUCUGAAGACCAGCCCCUCUGAAGAUGAAGCAGCAUUUUGGGGCGAGCUUUGGAACGCAGCCAAGAACCUUGUUGGGUGAGAAGCGACCAGCAUGGGGAUGCCAAGGAUCCUUUUCAGUCUCCAUAUGGAAUCAGCUAUCACCUCUGAAGUCAUCACUAACAUUACCUCAGUGAAUCAUUCCAACACCCACCCAUCAAUGAUUGUCAAAUAAACAACAGUAAUACAGUUAAUUGGUACUUUGGUACUGAGAAGAACUCAUCAACAUUCUUAAGAAAAUAUGUUUUAUCCAUAAACAUGUACUUUAUGUCCUGACACAUGACAGUUGAUUGGUCAAGUUAGUGGAUAAAUAAUUGUAUGGUUGUAUGGUUGACUUGUCAUAUUGUGAUCCUCCAAUAAACUAUCAAGCAUAAGA